Molecule: transfer RNA, 26 nt
Filed under: Uroplatus ebenaui
Lineage: Eukaryota; Metazoa; Chordata; Lepidosauria; Squamata; Gekkonidae
Description: tRNA-Tyr
Source: RNAcentral
CCAUCUAUGAGGUUACAGCUCACCGC